AUGGAUUGGUCCUGGAGGAUCUUCUUCUUGGUGGCAUCUCUGAAAAGUGCCCAAGGCGAGGUGCAGCUGGUGCAGUCUGGGGCUGAGCUGAAGAAGCCUGGAGCCUCAGUGAAGGUCUCCUGCAAGGCUUCUGGAUACACCUUCACCAGCUACUUUAUGUACUGGGUGCGACAGAGCCCUGGACAAGGCCUAGAGUCGAUUGGAUGGGUGAACACUGCUACAGGUGGUACCGCGUAUGCUCAGAAGUUCCAGGGCAGAGCCACUAUCACCGCUGACACGUCCUCCAGCACGGCCUACAUGGAACUGAGCAGUUUGAAGUCUGAGGACUUGGCUGUGUAUUACUGUGUGAGAGACACAGUGUGGUGA
Octodon degus (degu) is the source of this 366-nucleotide non-coding RNA. Lineage: Eukaryota; Metazoa; Chordata; Mammalia; Rodentia; Octodontidae. The record is from the annotation of a RefSeq genome assembly.